Molecule: ribosomal RNA, 419 nt
Filed under: uncultured Prevotella sp.
Lineage: Bacteria; Pseudomonadati; Bacteroidota; Bacteroidia; Bacteroidales; Prevotellaceae
Description: bacterial SSU rRNA
Rfam family: Bacterial small subunit ribosomal RNA
Source: RNAcentral
GGAAUAUUGGUCAAUGGGCGAGAGCCUGAACCAGCCAAGUAGCGUGCAGGAUGACGGCCCUAUGGGUUGUAAACUGCUUUUAUGCGGGGAUAAAGUGAGGGACGUGUCCCUUUUUGUAGGUACCGCAUGAAUAAGGACCGGCUAAUUCCGUGCCAGCAGCCGCGGUAAUACGGAGGAUGCAAGCGUUAUCCGGAUUUAUUGGGUUUAAAGGGAGCGCAGGCCGACUGGUAAGCGUGACGUGAAAUGUAGCCGCUCAACGGCUGAACUGCGUCGCGAACUGUCAGGCUUGAGUGAGUUCGAUGUUGGCGGAAUUCGUGGUGUAGCGGUGAAAUGCUUAGAUAUCACGAAGAACCCCGAUUGCGAAGGCAGCUGACGAGUCCUUUACUGACGCUAAAGCUCGAAGGUGCGGGUAUCGAACA